RNAcentral lists this ribosomal RNA (204 nucleotides) under uncultured bacterium. RNAcentral describes it as "partial 16S ribosomal RNA". It matches the Rfam family "Bacterial small subunit ribosomal RNA", at positions 524 to 727 of the family's 1533-position model. The record is from RNAcentral.
UACGUAGGGUGCGAGCGUUGUCCGGAAUUAUUGGGCGUAAAGAGCUUGUAGGCGGUUUGUCGCGUCUGCUGUGAAAUCUCAAGGCUCAACCUUGAGCUUGCAGUGGGUACGGGCAGACUAGAGUGUGGUAGGGGAGACUGGAAUUCCUGGUGUAGCGGUGAAAUGCGCAGAUAUCAGGAGGAACACCGAUGGCGAAGGCAGGUC